AGUGAACGCUGGCGGUAGGCCUAACACAUGCAAGUCGAACGGAAGCACAGUAAGAGCUUGCUCUUACGGGUGGCGAGUGGCGGACGGGUGAGGUAUACAUCGUAAUCUACUUUUUCGUGGGGGAUAACGUAGGGAAACUUACGCUAAUACCGCAUACGACCUACGGGUGAAAGCAGGGGAUCUUCGGACCUUGCGCGAUUGAAUGAGCCGAUGUCGGAGUAGCUAGUUGGCGGGGUAAAGGCCAACCAAGGCGACGAUCCGUAGCUGGUCUGAGAGGAUGGUCAGCCACACUGGAACUUAGACACGGUCCAUACUCCUACGGGAGGCAGCAGUGGGGAAUAUUAGACAAUGGUCGCAAGCCUGAUCCAGCCAGACCGCGUGGGUGAAGAAGGCCUUCGGUUUGGAAAGCCCGUUUGUUGGGAAAAAAAAGCAGCAGGUUAAUACCACGCUGUUCUGACGGUACCCAAAGAAUAAGCACCGGCUAACUUCGUG
Molecule: ribosomal RNA, 492 nt
Filed under: uncultured bacterium
Lineage: Bacteria
Description: partial 16S ribosomal RNA
Rfam family: Bacterial small subunit ribosomal RNA
Source: RNAcentral